RNAcentral lists this ribosomal RNA (1372 nucleotides) under uncultured bacterium. RNAcentral describes it as "bacterial SSU rRNA". It matches the Rfam family "Bacterial small subunit ribosomal RNA", at positions 28 to 1381 of the family's 1533-position model. The record is from RNAcentral.
GAUGAACGCUGGCGGCGUGCCUAAUACAUGCAAGUCGAGCGAACGGACGAGAAGCUUGCUUCUCUGAUGUUAGCGGCGGACGGGUGAGUAACACGUGGAUAACCUACCUAUAAGACUGGGAUAACUUCGGGAAACCGGAGCUAAUACCGGAUAAUAUUUUGAACCGCAUGGUUCAAAAGUGAAAGACGGUCUUGCUGUCACUUAUAGAUGGAUCCGCGCUGCAUUAGCUAGUUGGUAAGGUAACGGCUUACCAAGGCAACGAUGCAUAGCCGACCUGAGAGGGUGAUCGGCCACACUGGAACUGAGACACGGUCCAGACUCCUACGGGAGGCAGCAGUAGGGAAUCUUCCGCAAUGGGCGAAAGCCUGACGGAGCAACGCCGCGUGAGUGAUGAAGGUCUUCGGAUCGUAAAACUCUGUUAUUAGGGAAGAACAUAUGUGUAAGUAACUGUGCACAUCUUGACGGUACCUAAUCAGAAAGCCACGGCUAACUACGUGCCAGCAGCCGCGGUAAUACGUAGGUGGCAAGCGUUAUCCGGAAUUAUUGGGCGUAAAGCGCGCGUAGGCGGUUUUUUAAGUCUGAUGUGAAAGCCCACGGCUCAACCGUGGAGGGUCAUUGGAAACUGGAAAACUUGAGUGCAGAAGAGGAAAGUGGAAUUCCAUGUGUAGCGGUGAAAUGCGCAGAGAUAUGGAGGAACACCAGUGGCGAAGGCGACUUUCUGGUCUGUAACUGACGCUGAUGUGCGAAAGCGUGGGGAUCAAACAGGAUUAGAUACCCUGGUAGUCCACGCCGUAAACGAUGAGUGCUAAGUGUUAGGGGGUUUCCGCCCCUUAGUGCUGCAGCUAACGCAUUAAGCACUCCGCCUGGGGAGUACGACCGCAAGGUUGAAACUCAAAGGAAUUGACGGGGACCCGCACAAGCGGUGGAGCAUGUGGUUUAAUUCGAAGCAACGCGAAGAACCUUACCAAAUCUUGACAUCCUUUGACAACUCUAGAGAUAGAGCUUUCCCCUUCGGGGGACAAAGUGACAGGUGGUGCAUGGUUGUCGUCAGCUCGUGUCGUGAGAUGUUGGGUUAAGUCCCGCAACGAGCGCAACCCUUAAGCUUAGUUGCCAUCAUUAAGUUGGGCACUCUAAGUUGACUGCCGGUGACAAACCGGAGGAAGGUGGGGAUGACGUCAAAUCAUCAUGCCCCUUAUGAUUUGGGCUACACACGUGCUACAAUGGACAAUACAAAGGGCAGCGAAACCGUGAGGUCAAGCAAAUCCCAUAAAGUUGUUCUCAGUUCGGAUUGUAGUCUGCAACUCGACUACAUGAAGCUGGAAUCGCUAGUAAUCGUAGAUCAGCAUGCUACGGUGAAUACGUUCCCGGGUCU